CCCUUAGAUGUUCUGGGCCGCACGCGUGCUACACUGAGUGGAUCAGCGGGUCAGGUUGCGCGAAAGUGUUUCCUAAUCUUUAAAUCCGCUCGUGAUGGGGAUUGACGGUUGCAAUUUUCCGUCAUGAACGAGGAAUACCUUGUAAGCGCGGGUCAUCAUCCCGCGCUGAAUACGUCCCUGCCCUUUGUACACACCGCCCGUCACUCCUACCGAUUGAGUGGUCCGGUGAGGCUUUGGGAUCUGAGCAAAGAGAGCGUUUCGCUCGUUUUGCCCGGAAAACUCAGUCGAACCUUAUCAUUUAGAGGAAGGAGAAGUCGUAACA
Molecule: ribosomal RNA, 322 nt
Filed under: uncultured eukaryote
Lineage: Eukaryota
Description: partial 18S ribosomal RNA
Rfam family: Eukaryotic small subunit ribosomal RNA
Source: RNAcentral